RNAcentral lists this small nuclear RNA (115 nucleotides) under Panthera leo (lion). RNAcentral describes it as "U2 spliceosomal RNA (ENSPLOG00000015936.1)". It matches the Rfam family "U2 spliceosomal RNA". Rfam says of the family: U2 is a small nuclear RNA (snRNA) component of the spliceosome (involved in pre-mRNA splicing). Lineage: Eukaryota; Metazoa; Chordata; Mammalia; Carnivora; Felidae. The record is from RNAcentral.
AUCGCUUCUCGGCCUUUUGGCUAAGAUCAAGUGUAGUAUCUGUUCUUAUCAGUUUGAAAAAGGAGGUACAAUUAACCUCUUUAACUCAUAAAUUCCAGAUUAAUUAAUAAUUCAU